This 492-nucleotide ribosomal RNA is filed under the name uncultured bacterium. RNAcentral's name for it is "partial 16S ribosomal RNA". It matches the Rfam family "Bacterial small subunit ribosomal RNA", at positions 30 to 507 of the family's 1533-position model. The record is from RNAcentral.
AUUGAACGCUGGCGGUAGGCCUAACACAUGCAAGUCGAACGGCAGCACAGUAAGCGCUUGCUCUUACGGGUGGCGAGUGGCGGACGGGUGAGGAAUACAUCGGAAGCUACUUUUUCGUGGGGGAUAACGUAGGGAAACUUACGCUAAUCCCGCAUACGACCUACGGGUGAAAGCAGGGGAUCUUCGGCCCUUGCGCGAUUGAAUGAGCCGAUGGCGGAUUAGCUAGUUGGCGGGGUAAAGGCCCACCAAGGCGACGAUCCGUAGCUGGUCUGAGAGGAUGAUCAGCCACACUGGAACUGAGACACGGUCCAGACUCCUACGGGAGGCAGCAGUGGGGAAUAUUGGACAAUGGGCGCAAGCCUGAUCCAGCCAUACCGCGUGUGUGAAGAAGGCCUUCGGGUUGUAAAGCCCUUUUGUUGGGAAAGAAAAGCAGCAGGUUAAUACCCCGCUGUUCUGACGGUACCCAAAGAAUAAGCACCGGCUAACUUCGUG